RNAcentral lists this ribosomal RNA (254 nucleotides) under uncultured bacterium. Its description in RNAcentral is "partial 16S ribosomal RNA". It matches the Rfam family "Bacterial small subunit ribosomal RNA", at positions 524 to 776 of the family's 1533-position model. The record is from RNAcentral.
UACGUAGGGCGCAAGCGUUGUCCGGAAUUAUUGGGCGUAAAGAGCUCGUAGGCGGCUUGUCACGUCGGGUGUGAAAGCCCGGGGCUUAACCCCCGGGUCUGCAUUCGAUACGGGCAGGCUAGAGUGUGGUAGGGGAGAUCGGAAUUCCUGGUGUAGCGGUGAAAUGCGCAGAUAUCAGGAGGAACACCGGUGGCGAAGGCGGAUCUCUGGGCCAUUACUGACGCUGAGGAGCGAAAGCGUGGGGAGCGAACAGG